CCCUUAGACGUUCUGGGCCGCACGCGCGCUACACUGACCAGUGCAACAAGCAUCCGUCCUUGGCCGACAGGCUCGGGCAAUCUUUGAACGCUGGUCGUGAUGGGGAUAGACUUUUGCAAUUUUUGGUCUUCAACGAGGAAUUCCUAGUAAACGCAAGUCAUCAACUUGCAUUGAUUACGUCCCUGCCCUUUGUACACACCGCCCGUCGCACCAACCGAUUGAAUGGUCCGGUGAAGCCUCCGGAUUGGCGCGCACCUCGGUGCCGCCGAGAAGUUGGCUAAACCUUACCAUUUAGAGGAAGGUGAAGUCGUAACA
This 315-nucleotide ribosomal RNA is filed under the name uncultured eukaryote. Its description in RNAcentral is "partial 18S ribosomal RNA". It matches the Rfam family "Eukaryotic small subunit ribosomal RNA", at positions 1470 to 1796 of the family's 1831-position model. The record is from RNAcentral.